AUGAUCUCACGGUCACAUCAAACAGAGUAUGGACAGAGAAGCAUUCCGGGCGGCUCCGUCGUCACGAGAAAGGAGGCUCGUGGGGGCCGCUUCCGAGGCCUGUUUUCUCCCAGCAGAGAGCCUGAACGCUCAAAGCGCAAGCUGAAGGGUCCACUCGGAGAGACAUCGCGCUCAGCCCGGGCUCUUCAGGGCUUUCACCCCGCGCGCGCGCAGGAAGCGGCUUCAGCACCGACGACUCCCACGAGCCCCCGCGGGUGCCUCGACAGGGCUGUCACAGGCCGAGCGUUAAGAGAAGCAGGGCCGUGACUGGCUGCGAGGCCCUGGCUGAGGGGAAAUUCCGGACCGGACUCUCCCGAAGGGCGAAGUAGUCCCCCGGGCUCCCACCCUACGGCGCCCAGAGGGCCACAGGGGGCCCGAACCGGGAGGACCGACUGCCACACGUCCCUGGCAUUCAAUGACUAACAUCUAUGAAGCGCCCACUACAGCCGAGGCGCUGGACUCGGUGGGGUCGGGGCCGGAGAUGGGGGCAGAGAAGGACGGGCAGAAGGCAACACAUACACCGAUGAAAUGUACUACAAGGGAGAACACGAUGGGGCGAAAGGAAGGGUCAGAAAAAGCACUCGAGGGGUUGCGAGGCCGUACAGUGGAGGUCCUGGGUUCAAGUCUGGCCUCAGACACUUCCUAGCGGGGUGACCCUGGACAAGUCACUUAGCCCCAUUGCCUGGCCCUCCUUAGAACUGACGCGAAGACAGAAGAUACAGAGUUUGGACUGCUGUAGGGUAUCUGUGGGGGGAGAGAAGACCUUCAGCUUGCUGGUCAAGGGGACGGUGCCCCAAACUGGUCCAUAAACCUGAGGAUUCCAAGGGGCCAGGAUGAGGGGGAAGCGCAUGUCCGGGAUGGGCCGCGUCUGAGGAGCAGCUCCUCCAUUGGCUGGAAGGCGGCGCCUGUGAGGGGCCUCCCACGUGGCCAUCCCUGCAGACAGGCUCCGGCCGUGCUCUCGGUCUGGCCAGCUGGGCAAAGAGGGGAAACGCACCACUGCAGAACAAGGAAGCCUGCGAUUUCCGGCAGCCGCGGAAGCAGACGGCGACUCUGAAUAGGGAAACGUCCCUCCUCUGGGGGCCACCGCGCGGGCGGCUUCCCCAUCGGGGCUGCUAUUCCGUCCUAACAAGAGACAUCAGCCCAGCGUUCUUUGGAAAAGAGCCCAGGGACGAGUUCCUUCUGAAGGAAGGCGCGCUGAAUCGGAGGCCGGAGAGGCGGGGCCCAGGCCAGAGGCGGGUUCCCAUAGCAACCAAUUCCGUGGAUCCAGAAAUCGGUGAAGAUGGGGCGGGAAAUAAAUAUCGAGCACGUUUCCA
RNAcentral lists this long non-coding RNA (1352 nucleotides) under Monodelphis domestica (gray short-tailed opossum). RNAcentral describes it as "lncRNA (ENSMODG00000041883.1)". The record is from RNAcentral. Lineage: Eukaryota; Metazoa; Chordata; Mammalia; Didelphimorphia; Didelphidae.